This 253-nucleotide ribosomal RNA is filed under the name uncultured bacterium. RNAcentral describes it as "partial 16S ribosomal RNA". It matches the Rfam family "Bacterial small subunit ribosomal RNA", at positions 524 to 776 of the family's 1533-position model. The record is from RNAcentral.
UACGGAGGGUGCUAGCGUUGUUCGGAAUUACUGGGCGUAAAGCGCGUGUAGGCGGUUAGGUAAGUUGGAAGUGAAAGCCCGGAGCUCAACUUCGGAACUGCUUUCAAAACUACCUAACUAGAGAACGGUAGGGGACAGUGGAAUUCCUAGUGUAGGGGUGAAAUCCGUAGAUAUUAGGAGGAACACCAGUGGCGAAGGCGACUGUCUGGACCGUUUCUGACGCUAAGACGCGAAAGCGUGGGUAGCAAACAGG